RNAcentral lists this ribosomal RNA (774 nucleotides) under uncultured bacterium. RNAcentral describes it as "bacterial SSU rRNA". It matches the Rfam family "Bacterial small subunit ribosomal RNA", at positions 8 to 796 of the family's 1533-position model. The record is from RNAcentral.
AGAGUUUGAUCAUGGCUCAGGACGAACGCUGGCGGCGUGCUUAACACAUGCAAGUCACGGGGGCUCGCAAGGGCAACCGGCGAACGGGUGCGUAACACGUGAGGGACCUGCCUGGAAACGGGGGAUAGCCGGCCCAACGGCCGGGUAAUACCGCAUACGCUCUUUGGACGGCAUCGUCUGGAGAGGAAACCUCCGGGGUUUUCAGAGGGCCUCGCGGCCUAUCAGCUAGUUGGCGGGGUAACGGCCCACCAAGGCGACGACGGGUAGCUGGUCUGAGAGGAUGGCCAGCCACAUUGGGACUGAGAGACGGCCCAGACUCCUACGGGAGGCAGCAGUGGGGAAUCUUGCGCAAUGGCCGAAAGGCUGACGCAGCGACGCCGCGUGUGGGAGGAAGCUCUUCGGGGUGUAAACCACUGUUGCCCGGGACGAACGAGCGAUUUAGAUCGCUGUGACGGUACCGGGUGAGGAAGCACCGGCUAACUCUGUGCCAGCAGCCGCGGUAAUACAGAGGGCGCGAGCGUUGUCCGGAAUCACUGGGCGUAAAGGGCGCGUAGGCGGCUUGGUAAGGUUGCGGUGAAAGCCCGGGGCUCAACCCCGGGUCGGCCGUGGCAACUGCUGAGCUGGAGCACUGUAGAGGCAGGUGGAAUUCCGGGUGUAGCGGUGGAAUGCAGAGAUCCGGAAGAACACCGGUGGCGAAGGCGGCCUGCUGGGCAGUUGCUGACGCUGAGGCGCGACAGCGUGGGGAGCAAACAGGAUUAGAUACCCUAGUAGUCC